RNAcentral lists this small nuclear RNA (19 nucleotides) under Arabidopsis thaliana (thale cress). Its description in RNAcentral is "snRNA_18089". The record is from RNAcentral. Lineage: Eukaryota; Viridiplantae; Streptophyta; Magnoliopsida; Brassicales; Brassicaceae.
GAGCUCAACGAGAACAGAA